CUUCAACGAACCCAACCACAGGGGGCCGCGUUCCUCGGGACGGUCCUUGCCGUAGGUCGCGAGCAGAGCCUGCGCCUC
This 78-nucleotide antisense RNA is filed under the name Streptomyces zhaozhouensis. Its description in RNAcentral is "ASpks TB sRNA". It matches the Rfam family "ASpks TB sRNA". The record is from Rfam by way of RNAcentral. Lineage: Bacteria; Bacillati; Actinomycetota; Actinomycetes; Kitasatosporales; Streptomycetaceae.